Molecule: small nucleolar RNA, 139 nt
Filed under: Oryza nivara
Lineage: Eukaryota; Viridiplantae; Streptophyta; Magnoliopsida; Poales; Poaceae
Description: Small nucleolar RNA Z247
Rfam family: Small nucleolar RNA Z247
About the family: Z247 is a member of the C/D class of snoRNA which contain the C (UGAUGA) and D (CUGA) box motifs. Most of the members of the box C/D family function in directing site-specific 2'-O-methylation of substrate RNAs.
Source: Rfam by way of RNAcentral
CCCCUCGAUGACGAGGAGCUGAUGGGCUAUGUUCUGGCCGGCCUCGACGAGGACUAUGAGCCGGUUGUCUCCAGUCUGGUAGGCAAAAGCGAACCAGUGUCAAUUUCUGAAGUUUAUUCUCAACUGUUGAGUUUCGAGU